Molecule: ribosomal RNA, 263 nt
Filed under: uncultured bacterium
Lineage: Bacteria
Description: partial 16S ribosomal RNA
Rfam family: Bacterial small subunit ribosomal RNA
Source: RNAcentral
GAUGAACGCUAGCGGCAGGCUUAACACAUGCAAGUCGAGGGGUAGGUUACUUCGGUAAUUGAGACCGGCGCACGGGUGCGUAACGCGUAUACAAUCUACCUUUUACAGAGGGAUAGCCCAGAGAAAUUUGGAUUAAUACCUCAUAGUAUUUUUGAAUCGCAUGAUUUGAUUAUUAAAGUUCCAACGGUAAAAGAUGAGUAUGCGUCCCAUUAGCUAGAUGGUAAGGUAACGGCUUACCAUGGCUACGAUGGGUAGGGGUCCUG